This 292-nucleotide ribosomal RNA is filed under the name uncultured Pseudomonas sp. Its description in RNAcentral is "partial 16S ribosomal RNA". It matches the Rfam family "Bacterial small subunit ribosomal RNA", at positions 1089 to 1382 of the family's 1533-position model. Lineage: Bacteria; Pseudomonadati; Pseudomonadota; Gammaproteobacteria; Pseudomonadales; Pseudomonadaceae. The record is from RNAcentral.
GUAACGAGCGCAACCCUUGUCCUAGUUACCAGCACGUUAUGGUGGGCACUCUAAGGAGACUGCCGGUGACAACCGGAGGAAGGUGGGGAUGACGUCAAGUCAUCAUGGCCCUUACGGCCUGGGCUACACACGUGCUACAAUGGUCGGUACAAAGGGUUGCCAAGCCGCGAGGUGGAGCUAAUCCCAUAAAACCGAUCGUAGUCCGGAUCGCAGUCUGCAACUCGACUGCGUGAAGUCGGAAUCGCUAGUAAUCGUGAAUCAGAAUGUCACGGUGAAUACGUUCCCGGGCCUU